This 421-nucleotide long non-coding RNA is filed under the name Homo sapiens (human). Its description in RNAcentral is "non-protein coding lnc-SRM-1:3". Lineage: Eukaryota; Metazoa; Chordata; Mammalia; Primates; Hominidae. The record is from RNAcentral.
AGCUGAGAGAAAUGGGCCUGGUUUUCAGACUGCCCACAGGGACCAGGAUCGCUAUGUAUUCAUUUAUGUGAGCCAUGAGCCCUAGCCCCUCAUCGUGACAGGGGUGCUCUCACAGCCAAGGCUUCCCUGAGUGUCAUGGUCCCGGCCUCGCUGUGAGCCUGUGAUGUGUGGUAACUCAUUGACCUGACCGCAGGUCUCUCUCAUCUCUUACCUUUCAGGAAACAGCAAAUCCAAAGUUUCUUCUCAGUUUGAUCCAAAUAAACAGACCCCGUCUGGCAAGAAAUGCAUUGCAGCCAAAAAAAUUAAACAGUCGGUGGGAAACAAAAGCAUGUCCUUUCCAACUGGAAAGUCAGACAGAGGCUUCAGGUACAACUGGCCACAGAGAUAGUCCUGGAAGACACGUGGCGCCUGUGGACCGGAA